GUAACGGCCCACCAAGGCGACGAUGCGUAGGGGUUCUGAGAGGAAGGUCCCCCACACUGGUACUGAGACACGGACCAGACUCCUACGGGAGGCAGCAGUGAGGAAUAUUGGUCAAUGGCCGCAGGGCUGAACCAGCCAAGUCGCGUGAGGGAUGACGGUCCUAUGGAUUGUAAACCUCUUUUGUCAGGGAGCAAAGGACGCCACGUGUGGCGUUUUGCGAGUACCUGAAGAAAAAGCAUCGGCUAACUCCGUGCCAGCAGCCGCGGUAAUACGGAGGAUGCGAGCGUUAUCCGGAUUUAUUGGGUUUAAAGGGUGCGCAGGCGGAAUGUCAAGUCAGCGGUAAAAUUUCGGGGCUCAACCCCGUCGUGCCGUUGAAACUGGCGUUCUUGAGUGAGCGAGAAGUAUGCGGAAUGCGUGGUGUAGCGGUGAAAUGCAUAGAUAUCACGCAGAACUCCGAUUGCGAAGGCAGCAUACCGGCGCUCAACUGACGCUCAUGCACGAAAGCGUGGGUAUCGAACAGGAUUAGAUACCCUGGUAGUCCACGCAGUAAACGAUGAAUACUAACUGUCCGGGCCGAUUGAGGUCUGG
RNAcentral lists this ribosomal RNA (588 nucleotides) under uncultured bacterium. RNAcentral describes it as "bacterial SSU rRNA". It matches the Rfam family "Bacterial small subunit ribosomal RNA", at positions 257 to 842 of the family's 1533-position model. The record is from RNAcentral.